AACAAAGCUUUAUUUACAAGAAAAAAGCUGGUGGCUCUGCUUGUUUUUGCUUUAGGUCCAGUGGCCAUUGGGACAGCUGCUCCGUGCAUCCUAGCUUCCCUUUACUGACUGCAAACUUUACUUUGGAUACAAGUUAAUACUGUUGGCCGUGAUCAGAAGGAAACUUAAAAGUUUGAGGACUUAGUAACAAAGUUGUGUUUGAUGAUAUGGCUCAGGUGAAGUAGAAAUGGAGAGCUUGGAGCCGAGAGCAGGGAUUUGGGGCCCAGUUUUCGGAAUGGCUUCCGUGUGAAGGAGUUACAGAGGAUGAGAUGGAAAGGAGGGCUGUGAAUCUGGAAAUGAGUCACAGCCAUUCAUUUACUUGUUCAUUAACCAACACAAAGGUAGGUAUUGCAUUGUUAGCUCCUUUCAAGGGAUGGAUGACAUGGUGGUGAAAGACUCGGUCUCUGUCCUCCUGAAGUGUACUCAGGAGUCUGUGAAGGUGGCCCCAGAGAAAUUCAUGGUAAUGAGGACAGGGGAGGCUUACUAAGUUAAUAGUGUGGACUUGAGAAGAGCAGAGUUGCUGACUUGUGCUCUCCUAAGGUGGAAGGGACAAGUAGGUGUUCAGAUCUGUAGAAGGUAAGUGGAUAGUCCACUCAGUUAUACACCAGACCACAUUCCCGGUAAGGUUGAUUUAAUAACUGAUGGGAAAGAGAGGCCUUAGAAAAUCUUUGUUGCUUUAAAUAAUGUGUAAGUUUGUUGAUGCUGUGGGAAAUAGCAGACAUGCCAUUUGAUAGACAUAUUGGCUGUUUAUGUAUCUUAUUAUAACCUACAAAAUGUUGGCAAGUUGAAAAGUAUAUCAAUAAAAAUGCCUCCUAAGUAGCAAAUAGGUAAAACUCUUUCAAACAAAUUUAUAACUUCCUCUUAUAGGAGUGUGGGUGCUCGUGAUCUUAAUGUAUGCUGUUAGGGGGUUAAUUGUGACCCUGCAACAUUUAUGUGUUGAAGUACAGCCAGUACCUCACAGUGCAACUUAUUUGGAAAUGGGGUCAAUGCAGAUGUGGUUAGUUAAGAUGAGGUCAUUAGGGUGGACCUUAAUCCAAUAUAAUUGGUGUCCUUAUAAAAAGGGGAAAUUUAGAUGCAGAGAUAUGCAGGGCAUGGGGGGAGAUGAUGUGAACAGACAUAGGGAGAAGACAGCCAUCCACAAGCUGAGAAGCACAGCCUGGAAGAGAUCCUUCCCUCACAGCCCUCAGAAGGAGCUAGCUAGCUGAUACCUUGAGUUUGGACUUCCAGUUUCCAGAACCAUAAGACAGUAAAUUUCUGUUGGUUAAGCCACCUCGUUUGUCACUACUUUGUUACGGCUGCCUUAACAAACAAGUACACGUGUUUUCUGGGUGUUAAUUCCUGUCAACCCCCAAACUUCCUUGAGGGAUGAGGAAACCCACCAAUUCCUUAAACUGAAGGCCAAGUAAAGCUUGCCCAUGAACUAAAACUUCGGACCAUUUCCUUGGUGUCACUUUCAGCGUUGUUCUUUACCAAGCAUUGUUCUUGACUUAGAGAGCAGAUGACAUGGCAGCUCUCUCUCUCUCUCUCUCUCUCUGUCUCUCUUGCUUUUACAACCAGCCUAGUUUCCACAGCUACUUUUAAGACAUAGCCAAUAUUUAAAGUAUCUGCUGAACAUUCAGUUCCCAGAAGCCCAGCUUUGGAUGACUCCUGUGUCCUUGAGGACAAUGAGUAGGGGAGACCUGGUUCCAUCCGGGCCUCCGCUGCUCGAUGGCUGUGAGCCGCCCAAAAGCAGCUGGCAGAGGCAAUCCCUGCAGCUGCGAGAGGCCUCUCAAAAAUGGAUGCAGUGUGUUCCUCCCAAAACCAGUGUUCGCCCUCUUCUACAGAAC
Molecule: long non-coding RNA, 1865 nt
Filed under: Homo sapiens (human)
Lineage: Eukaryota; Metazoa; Chordata; Mammalia; Primates; Hominidae
Description: HSALNT0201538
Source: RNAcentral